Molecule: ribosomal RNA, 477 nt
Filed under: uncultured organism
Description: partial 16S ribosomal RNA
Rfam family: Bacterial small subunit ribosomal RNA
Source: RNAcentral
CGUACACUCCUGCGGGAGGCAGCAGUAGGGAAUCUUCCACAAUGGGUGCAAACCUGAUGGAGCAAUGCCGCGUGAGUGAAGAAGGUCUUCGGAUCGUAAAGCUCUGUUGUUAGAGAAGAACACGUGCUAGGUAACUACUAGCGCCUUGACGGUAUCUAACCAGAAAGUCACGGCUAACUACGUGCCAGCAGCCGCGGUAAUACGUAGGUGACAAGCGUUGUCCGGAUUUAUUGGGCGUAAAGGGAGCGCAGGCGGUCUGUUUAGUCUAAUGUGAAAGCCCACGGCUUAACCGUGGAACGGCAUUGGAAACUGACAGACUUGAAUGUAGAAGAGGAAAAUGGAAUUCCAAGUGUAGUGGUGGAAUGCGUAGAUAUUUGGAGGAACACCAGUGGCGAAGGCGAUUUUCUGGUCUAACAUUGACGCUGAGGCUCGAAAGCGUGGGGAGCGAACAGGAUUAGAAACCUUUGUAGUCCCAUG